AUACAAAUUGUAUGACUCUUCUUUUCGCACACUGGAGGACAGUGGGUGGCUUUCUGAUGAGGUCAUUGAUGCAUACCUGCACUGCCUCAUUAGGAAACAAAAGGCAAGUAAGAACGUAUGCCGGUUAUUUCAGAAAAGUAUUUUAUACAAUUUUGUAAUCUUUUAAAUAAAAAAAAAUCUUGCAUUUUUCAGAAACCCGUGUAUCAGUUAUCUUGCGUUGUUGCAACCUCUCUGUUUUCUGGGAAGUUUAAAUGUGUCAGCAAGAUGUUGUUUCCGGCUGAGGACAUUUGGUUGUGCCCACUGAACUCUGGUGCACAC
Long non-coding RNA from Pundamilia nyererei, 318 nucleotides. RefSeq lists it as uncharacterized. The record is from RefSeq and is a predicted model, not a curated record. The transcript is spliced from 3 exons. NCBI's taxonomy places the organism in Eukaryota, Metazoa, Chordata, Actinopteri, Cichliformes, Cichlidae.